UGGGUGUCCUUUGACAAUGCAUCCCCUGC
RNAcentral lists this non-coding RNA (29 nucleotides) under Homo sapiens (human). The record is from RNAcentral. Lineage: Eukaryota; Metazoa; Chordata; Mammalia; Primates; Hominidae.